RNAcentral lists this ribosomal RNA (253 nucleotides) under uncultured bacterium. RNAcentral's name for it is "partial 16S ribosomal RNA". It matches the Rfam family "Bacterial small subunit ribosomal RNA", at positions 524 to 776 of the family's 1533-position model. The record is from RNAcentral.
UACGGGGGGGGCAAGCGUUGUUCGGAAUUACUGGGCGUAAAGGGCUCGUAGGCGGCCAACUAAGUCAGACGUGAAAUCCCUCGGCUUAACCGGGGAACUGCGUCUGAUACUGGAUGGCUAGAGGUUGGGAGAGGGAUGCGGAAUUCCAGGUGUAGCGGUGAAAUGCGUAGAUAUCGGGAGGAACACCAGUGGCGAAAGCGCCUUGCUGGACCACUACUGACGCUAAGGAACGAAAGCCAGGGUAGCGAAAGGG